Molecule: unclassified non-coding RNA, 273 nt
Filed under: Hevea brasiliensis (rubber tree)
Lineage: Eukaryota; Viridiplantae; Streptophyta; Magnoliopsida; Malpighiales; Euphorbiaceae
Source: RNAcentral
UCAGAAAUGUUUUCCAUUGCUUGAGAAGCCAAAACCAUAUUGUUUACUAAUGUAGAAAACUUUUAUUUCACGGCAACAGAAUCCCAAAUCCAAGCUGAAAAGCUCAAAUCUCAAGACGAAGACAACCCCUUAUGUGAGCUCUAUAUAUCAAAUGGAUAUUAACCAAAUACCUCUAAUUCUCUCAAGGAACCUUAUAAAGAAAACAGAAGUCAUGAGAACUUCCAAAUGGGAAGUGAACUGCCAAGAGAUAACAGAAAAAGCCGAAUAUAAAGC